UUGAAGAAAGGGAAUAUCAUUGCUAGCACGGCUGUUACUAUAACGUACGCUGUCCUCCAUACUAAUCUGAAGAAGUUGAGAUAGUAAAUGCCGCAGAACGGAACAUCCAUAGCGUGUUCGCGGGUUAUGAACUUGUUGUCGGGAUAAUGUCUGGCGCACAAGCUUUCGACGAACCCAAAUAACGGUUGGGCAAAAACUUGGUAUGCACCAAUAAGGUGGACAGCAAUACAGACGUUGGCGAAGUCGAUUAACCAAAAGGGUUCGUAGAAACCGAACCCUGUAAGGAAAUUUCCUGGUGCAUCGUUUCCGAAUGCUGC
This 317-nucleotide long non-coding RNA is filed under the name Gossypium barbadense (sea-island cotton). RNAcentral's name for it is "long non-coding RNA (GBAR_LNC004884)". The record is from RNAcentral. Lineage: Eukaryota; Viridiplantae; Streptophyta; Magnoliopsida; Malvales; Malvaceae.